AUGAGAGUUUGAUCCUGGCUCAGGACGAACGCUGGCGGCGUGCCUAAUACAUGCAAGUCGAACGCUUCUUUUCCCAUCGGAGCUUGCUCCACCGGGAAAAGAGGAGUGGCGAACGGGUGAGUAACACGUGGGUAACCUGCCCAUCAGAAGGGGAUAACACUUGGAAACAGGUGCUAAUACCGUAUAACAAUCGAAACCGCAUGG
This 204-nucleotide ribosomal RNA is filed under the name Enterococcus mundtii. Its description in RNAcentral is "partial 16S ribosomal RNA". It matches the Rfam family "Bacterial small subunit ribosomal RNA", at positions 1 to 193 of the family's 1533-position model. Lineage: Bacteria; Bacillati; Bacillota; Bacilli; Lactobacillales; Enterococcaceae. The record is from RNAcentral.